GCUAAGGGUAGUAGUUUAGUUGCCGUAAACCAUCCUUCCAUUUCUUACAUUUUCUGCCUCGUAUAUGCAAUAACAGUGCAACCUCCCUACAGAACUGGUCUUCUAUAAAUGCCUUGCCAUCAAAACGAAUGCAGUUUCUGUCCCUCCAUAUCAGUGCUACAGCAGUCACUAAGGCAGAAGCAGUAAUUGCUUUGUGCCAUUGUUUGCUUCUAGCU
This 215-nucleotide long non-coding RNA is filed under the name Nicotiana benthamiana. RNAcentral's name for it is "long non-coding RNA (NBEN_LNC016852)". Lineage: Eukaryota; Viridiplantae; Streptophyta; Magnoliopsida; Solanales; Solanaceae. The record is from RNAcentral.